Molecule: long non-coding RNA, 387 nt
Organism: Melitaea cinxia (Glanville fritillary)
Lineage: Eukaryota; Metazoa; Arthropoda; Insecta; Lepidoptera; Nymphalidae
Exons: 2
Source: RefSeq, a predicted model, not a curated record
UAAUCUUUUUGCGUGUCAGUUUGCUGCUACGUACAAUGUGAACCGCAAUAGUAGUGGUGGUAAUAGCCUCGACACAGUGUCUGAUUAUUGGAAAAAUCUGCUUGAGAGGUUCCAACUCCGUGUGCCGAGAACUUAUCCUCGUACUCCUAUUACUCCGCUGUGCCCGCCCUUUCGCAAAACAACUCUGGGUGCCAACUCAUUGGUACCGAGGUUAUCUAGACUCCUUAACGAAACUAAAAUCGACGUCUUUGCCGACUCAUUUACCAAGCUCAGACGGGAAUUGUGCGAGACAUGGACGAAUUAUUGUUAAGAUGGCUACUUCUUAUGUAUGAUUGGUGACUGUUGAUUUUUAUACAUUUUAAAUAUGUUUUUUUUUUUAUAUUGGAA